This 228-nucleotide long non-coding RNA is filed under the name Homo sapiens (human). RNAcentral's name for it is "non-protein coding lnc-CD180-15:1". The record is from RNAcentral. Lineage: Eukaryota; Metazoa; Chordata; Mammalia; Primates; Hominidae.
CAGAUCUAGGUAUCUGAGCAGAAGAUUCAGUUAGGCAGUGGGAUCUACGGAUCUGGAGUUCAGGAGUGCAAUCCAGGCUGGAAAUGUAACUUCCUCAGCUUAUUUUUUUUUUUUUUUUUUUUUUUACUGAUAACAUUUUACUUCUGAUUCUAAACACAUUUUGGGUAUGGUAGUGACCACUGAGGGGACGGGAGGGGAGCAAAAAGGCUCAGGAGGGUGUGGUCAGUC